Long non-coding RNA from Alosa sapidissima (American shad), 255 nucleotides. RefSeq lists it as uncharacterized. The record is from RefSeq and is a predicted model, not a curated record. The transcript is spliced from 2 exons. Lineage: Eukaryota; Metazoa; Chordata; Actinopteri; Clupeiformes; Clupeidae.
UACUGUAUCGUUAUUUUAAAGUUUUAAUAGUCUACAUGUACCCCAAAAUGCCUGACUGUUUUAAUGUUGUAGUCUGUAACCGGUGGGCUGUGAUUCUCUUUUUCAUAGAGUGUCAAGAAACUGUCUGAAGCAUGUAAUAUCAACAGUUUUGUGAGCGCUGUCUGAAAUGAGGCCUGCAAAAUGUGAACCACGUUGUAGCAAUCACUGCUGUAAAUCCGACAUCUAUACGUUCAUGCCUGCGUAGGAGAAGGACAU